UACGAAGGGUGCAAGCGUUAAUCGGAAUUACUGGGCGUAAAGCGCGCGUAGGUGGUUCAGCAAGUUGGAUGUGAAAGCCCUGGGCUCAACCUGGGAACUGCAUCCAAAACUACUGAGCUAGAGUACGGUAGAGGGUAGUGGAAUUUCCUGUGUAGCGGUGAAAUGCGUAGAUAUAGGAAGGAACACCGGUGGCGAAGGCGGCUACCUGGACGGGUACUGACGCUGAGGCGCGAGAGCUGGGGGGUAGCAAACAGGAUUAGAUACCCUGGUAGU
RNAcentral lists this ribosomal RNA (273 nucleotides) under uncultured bacterium. RNAcentral's name for it is "partial 16S ribosomal RNA". It matches the Rfam family "Bacterial small subunit ribosomal RNA", at positions 524 to 794 of the family's 1533-position model. The record is from RNAcentral.